UUCUUUUUUAAAAAUGUAUUUAAUUAAAAUAAAUAUUAAUUAUGUCCCCCCUCCCUUCUUACCUUUACUGGGAGGAGGGGGGACAUUUCUCCACCCCUGGUGGUCCGGUGGGGAAUCCCUGGUGGUCCCAGUGGUGGUG
This is a non-coding RNA of Pelobates cultripes (western spadefoot toad), 139 nucleotides long. Lineage: Eukaryota; Metazoa; Chordata; Amphibia; Anura; Pelobatidae. The record is from the annotation of a GenBank genome assembly.